CGAACGGGUGAGUAACGCGUGAGGAACCUGCCUCAAANAGGGGGACAACAGUUGGAAACGACUGCUAAUACCGCAUAAGCGCACAGAGCUGCAUGGCUCAGUGUGAAAAACUCCGGUGGUAUAAGAUGGACCCGCGUUGGAUUAGCUAGUUGGUGGGGUAACGGCCCACCAAGGCGACGAUCCAUAGCCGGCCUGAGAGGGUGAACGGUCACAUUGGGACUGAGACACGGCCCAGACUCCUACGGGAGGCAGCAUG
RNAcentral lists this ribosomal RNA (256 nucleotides) under uncultured bacterium. RNAcentral's name for it is "partial 16S ribosomal RNA". It matches the Rfam family "Bacterial small subunit ribosomal RNA", at positions 99 to 353 of the family's 1533-position model. The record is from RNAcentral.